RNAcentral lists this long non-coding RNA (936 nucleotides) under Ananas comosus (pineapple). Its description in RNAcentral is "long non-coding RNA (ACOM_LNC025581)". The record is from RNAcentral. Lineage: Eukaryota; Viridiplantae; Streptophyta; Magnoliopsida; Poales; Bromeliaceae.
GAAAGUAAGGGCAAUUGCUUAUAUAUUUCUGAAAAAUUUUCGACUUUCUGAUUUAUCCUUCUUAGAAGGUUAAUAUUAAAAAUACUUUUUUUAUGUUUCAAUCUAUUUCUAAUAUACCUCUAGAGUUAAAUUUUGUUAAUAAACUAUUAGCAAUAACUAUUAUCUCUAUGAAAUUACUAUUUUACCCUUUCAGAUAUACCCUUGUACCAUCACCAAUUUUUCUUAUUUAUUUUUAACUUAGGGACACAAAAAGUAUUUUAAUUUUUGAUCUUUUAAAAUAUACCCUUCUACCAUCACCAAUAUUUCUUAUUUGCCCUUAAGUUAAAGGCAAAGAAGGAUUUUGAUUUUUUUAAAAAUUUUGGUAGAUAUUUAACUUACGUUUAACCCAUGUUAACUUAACGGGUGAUAAUUACAGGAAUAUUUUUAGAAGGAUGGAAGAGCAUAUGAGGGGUAUAUUGAAAAAGAAAAAAAAGGUACGAGUAAAUGAGAUAUUUUUAAAAUUUUAAGGAAUAUAUAGGCAAUUAUCCCUAGCAAAAGAGAGUACAAAACUAUCUCUACAUCUUUAUCUAUCUUUAUAGAGAAAACUUCAAAAAUCCCCCCUGUGCUUUCGUAGUUUCUCACUUUGCUCCCCUGUGGUUUAAAAUGUAUCAAUUUGUCUCCCUGUGGUUUCGUUUUUAUCUUUUCGGUAGCUUCUUCGUUAAUAUUUCAUUAAAUUAUAUACAAAAAACUUCAGAUACCAAUCUAGAUUUAUCAAAUAUUCACUUUAGUACCCUUUAAUUUUAACUUUAUCACCUAUUUAAGAAAAAAUAAUAAUAAAAUUGAUAAGAAAAAGAGGGAAAAAAAACAAUAGGGGGACAAAUUGAUACAUUUUAAACCACAGGGGAGGCAAAGUGAGAAACUACGAAACCACGGGGGAGGGUUUUGAAGUUUUUCCAU